GAUGAACGCUAGCGGCAGGCUUAAUACAUGCAAGUCGUGGGGCAGCAGGUUUGUAGCAAUACAGAUGCUGGCGACCGGCAAACGGGUGCGGAACACGUACAGAACCUUCCUUUGAGCGGGGAAUAGCCCAGAGAAAUUUGGAUUAAUACCCCAUAGUAUAAUGAAGUGGCAUCACUUUAUUAUUAAAGAUUUAUCACUCGAAGAUGGCUGUGCGGCUGAUUAGGUAGUUGGCGGGGUAAAGGCCCACCAAGCCUGCGAUCAGUAACUGGUGUGAGAGCACGACCAGUCACACGGGCACUGAGACACGGGCCCGACUCCUACGGGAGGCAGCAGUAAGGAAUAUUGGUCAAUGGAGGCAACUCUGAACCAGCCAUGCCGCGUGGAGGAUGAAGGUCCUCUGGAUUGUAAACUUCUUUAUAUGGGACGAAAAAGGCUUUCUAAGUCGUCUGACGGUACCAUAUGAAUAAGCACCGGCUAACUCCGUGCCAGCAGCCG
This 495-nucleotide ribosomal RNA is filed under the name uncultured bacterium. Its description in RNAcentral is "bacterial SSU rRNA". It matches the Rfam family "Bacterial small subunit ribosomal RNA", at positions 28 to 517 of the family's 1533-position model. The record is from RNAcentral.